AGAUCUUGGCAAUAAUGUUCUGGGAGAAAUUGCUGCUACACAUAUACUGGAAGCAUUAAAGGAGAGAAACAAAGGUAAACUGCCAAACUUACAAAUUAUAGUCACCCCACAGAUUUCUUCAGAUACCUUCAGAUCAAUCUGGGAAAACAGCAAGAAGUUUGGCGCUGCCCAUAAGAAAAAGAAGAAGGCCAAAAAAUGAACUCCAUUUAUUCCUGUGAACAAACUGUUAUGGAUAUCAAGACAAUGUCGAUGAGACAUAAUAUUCCCAACCAAGAGUCAUUUUAUGAAUGUGCAAGAAUACUUUAUUCUUAAAUUACAUUGCAUUUGUCACUUUUAUAAAAAGUUGCUUU
Molecule: long non-coding RNA, 350 nt
Organism: Vombatus ursinus (common wombat)
Lineage: Eukaryota; Metazoa; Chordata; Mammalia; Diprotodontia; Vombatidae
Exons: 3
Source: RefSeq, a predicted model, not a curated record